Molecule: long non-coding RNA, 732 nt
Organism: Eriocheir sinensis (Chinese mitten crab)
Lineage: Eukaryota; Metazoa; Arthropoda; Malacostraca; Decapoda; Varunidae
Exons: 3
Source: RefSeq, a predicted model, not a curated record
GAGAGAGAGAGAGAGAGAGAGAGAGAGAGAGAGAGAGAAGGUGAUAUCGACCGAGUCAGUUCCAGCGGGUGUGAGGUGGUGCGCGCGUGUGUGUGUGGCGUGUUUCCCUCUCUGCCACCUCUCCCGCCUCUCCCUCGCCCCUGGCAUGCCCAUGGGCGGCGUGACCAGGUGUGAGAGGCCCCCAGCGAACAGGUGCGCCUAGGCAAGCCACGUACCAUGCCCCCCCUGUGCCCGCGGACCCAGGGUGAAGCGGACGGCGCGGACGGAACUGACGGGGAGAAAGAACAGGAGAAAGAAUAAAAAGGAAAAAAGAAGUAGAAGGAGACGGUUUAAGAAGGAAAAAAAAGUGAAUAGAGGAAAAGAGAAGAGAAAGGAGAAGCGAGAGAACGUAGAAGAAGCGGUUGAAAUAAGAACGUAGAGAAAGAAGGGAAAGAAGAGAAGAGAAAGGAGAAUUGGGAGAACGUAGAAGAAGGGGUUGAAAUAAGAACGUAGAGGAAGAAGGGAAAGAAGAGAAGAUAAGGAGAAUUGGGAGAACGUAGAAGAAGGGGUUGAAAUAAGAACGUAGAGAAAGAAGGGAAAGAAGAGAAGAUAAAGGAGAAUUGGGAGAACGUAGAAGAAGGGGUUGAAAUAAGAACGUAGAGAAAGAGGGGAAAGAAGAGAAGAUAAAGGAGAAUUGGGAGAACGUAGAAGAAGGGGUUGAGAUAAGAACGUAGAGAAAGAAGGCAGAAGAGA